RNAcentral lists this small nucleolar RNA (77 nucleotides) under Sus scrofa (pig). RNAcentral describes it as "pSNORD66". It matches the Rfam family "Small nucleolar RNA SNORD66". Rfam says of the family: snoRNA HBII-142 is part of the C/D family of snoRNAs. The record is from RNAcentral. Lineage: Eukaryota; Metazoa; Chordata; Mammalia; Artiodactyla; Suidae.
AUUCCACUGAUGACUUCUUGUUAGUGCCACGUGUCUGGGCCACUGAGACCCCCUGAUGGAACUGAGGAUCUGAGGAA